Molecule: small nuclear RNA, 191 nt
Filed under: Echeneis naucrates (live sharksucker)
Lineage: Eukaryota; Metazoa; Chordata; Actinopteri; Carangiformes; Echeneidae
Description: U2 spliceosomal RNA (ENSENLG00000000181.1)
Rfam family: U2 spliceosomal RNA
About the family: U2 is a small nuclear RNA (snRNA) component of the spliceosome (involved in pre-mRNA splicing).
Source: Rfam by way of RNAcentral
AUCGCUUCUCGGCCUUUUGGCUAAGAUCAAGUGUAGUAUCUGUUCUUAUCAGUUUAAUAUCUGAUACGUCCCCUACCCGGGGACCAUAUAUUAAAUAGCUUUUUGGAACAGGGAGAUGGAAUAGGGGCUUGCUCCGUCCACUCCACGCAUCGACCUGGUAUUGCAGUAUCUCCAGGAACGGUGCACUCCCU